This 377-nucleotide ribosomal RNA is filed under the name uncultured bacterium. RNAcentral's name for it is "bacterial SSU rRNA". It matches the Rfam family "Bacterial small subunit ribosomal RNA", at positions 523 to 898 of the family's 1533-position model. The record is from RNAcentral.
AUACGUAGGGUGCGAGCGUUGUCCGGAUUUACUGGGCGUAAAGAGCUCGUAGGUGGCUUGUCGCGUCGUCUGUGAAAGUCUGGGGCUUAACUCCGGGUGUGCAGGCGAUACGGGCUGGCUUGAGUGCUGUAGGGGAGACUGGAAUUCCUGGUGUAGCGGUGGAAUGCGCAGAUAUCAGGAGGAACACCGAUGGCGAAGGCAGGUCUCUGGGCAGUCACUGACGCUGAGGAGCGAGAGCAUGGGUAGCGAACAGGAUUAGAUACCCUGGUAGUCCAUGCUGUAAACGGUGGGCGCUAGGUGUGGGGACUUUCCAUGGUUUCCGUGUCGUAGCUAACGCGUUAAGCGCCCCGCCUGGGGAGUACGGCCGCAAGGCUAAA